CGCAUUGCUUCCGGUGGGGCCGCCGCCAUCUUGGAGGGCCGCGUCCACCGCCGCCGCCGCCGCCGACUCCGCCGCCGCCGGAGAGGGCCCCGGAGGAGACCCCGCGGCUGCCGCCCCCCCGGUGGAGAUGGAGGCGGGGGGGAAGGCGGGCAGUGAGACGGACGCGAUGACGUCGGACGACUUCGAUAUCGUCAUCGAGGCGAUGCUGGAGGCGCCCUACAAGAAGGAGGAGGCGCAGCCCGGACCCUCAAAGCCACCGACGGAAACUGCGCCCCCUCAGCAGCCGCCCGAGGAGCACAGCAAGGAGCCCAAAAAGGAGAGCGGGGGCAGCAGCAGGUGGGCAAUGGGGGGCAAUAUGGGGGGAUAUGGGGGAUUUGGG
Molecule: long non-coding RNA, 379 nt
Filed under: Gallus gallus (chicken)
Lineage: Eukaryota; Metazoa; Chordata; Aves; Galliformes; Phasianidae
Description: lncRNA (ENSGALG00010004099.1)
Source: RNAcentral